Molecule: ribosomal RNA, 459 nt
Filed under: uncultured bacterium
Lineage: Bacteria
Description: partial 16S ribosomal RNA
Rfam family: Bacterial small subunit ribosomal RNA
Source: RNAcentral
CCUACGGGAGGCAGCAGUGAGGAAUAUUGGUCAAUGGGCGGAAGCCUGAACCAGCCAAGUAGCGUGCGGGAUGAAGGCCCUACGGGUCGUAAACCGCUUUUGCCCGGGGAUAACACCCUCCACUUGUGGAGGUCUGCAGGUACCCUGCGAAAAAGGGCCGGCUAAUUCCGUUCCAGUAGCCGCGGUAAUAAGGAGGGCGCGAGCGUUUUCCGGAUUCAUUGGGGUUAAAGGGGGCGUAGGCGGGCGUUCAAGUCAGCGGUAAAAUGGCGGGGCUCAACCGCGCCCCGCAGUUGAAACUGGGGGCCUUGAGUGGGCAAGAGGCAGGCGGAAUUCGUGGUGUAGCGGUGAAAUGCAUAGAUAUCACGAGGAACCCCGAUUGCGAAGGCAGCCUGCCGGGGUGCGACUGACGCUGAGGCACGAAGGUGGGGGUAUCAAACAGGAUUAGAUACCCCUGUAGUC